Molecule: ribosomal RNA, 491 nt
Filed under: uncultured bacterium
Lineage: Bacteria
Description: bacterial SSU rRNA
Rfam family: Bacterial small subunit ribosomal RNA
Source: RNAcentral
GUGAAGAAGGCCUUCGGUUGUAAGCUCUUUCGGCAGGAACGAAACGGCGGGCUCUAACAUAGCCUGCUAAUGACGGUACCUGAAGAAGAAGCACCGGCUAACUACGUGCCAGCAGCCGCGGUAAUACGUAGGGUGCGAGCGUUAAUCGGAAUUACUGGGCGUAAAGCGUGCGCAGGCGGUUUUGUAAGACAGAUGUGAAAUCCCCGGGCUUAACCUGGGAACUGCGUUUGUGACUGCAAGACUUGAGUGCGGCAGAGGGGGGUGGAAUUCCACGUGUAGCAGUGAAAUGCGUAGAGAUGUGGAGGAACACCGAUGGCGAAGGCAGCCCCCUGGGUCGACACUGACGCUCAUGCACGAAAGCGUGGGUAGCAAACAGGAUUAGAUACCCUGGUAGUCCACGCCCUAAACGAUGCCAACUAGGUGUUGGGGAAGGAGACUUCCUUAGUACCGUAGCUAACGCGUGAAGUUGGCCGCCUGGGGAGUACGGUCGC